RNAcentral lists this ribosomal RNA (216 nucleotides) under Glomeromycotina sp. Its description in RNAcentral is "partial small subunit ribosomal RNA". The stretch from base 40 to 216 matches the Rfam family "Eukaryotic small subunit ribosomal RNA", at positions 686 to 864 of the family's 1831-position model. The record is from RNAcentral. Lineage: Eukaryota; Fungi; Glomeromycota.
GGGUCAGUAGGUUGGUCGUGCCACCGGUACGUACUGGUCUCACUGAUUCCUCCUUCCUGAAGAACCGUAAUGCCAUUAAUUUGGUGUUGCGGGGAAACAGGACUGUUACUUUGAGAGAAUUAGAGUGUUUAAAGCAAGCUAACGCUUGAAUACAUUAGCAUGGAAUAAUGAAAUAGGACGAUCGAUCCUAUUUUGUUGGUUUCUAGGAUUGACGUA